AGCGAACGCUGGCGGCAGGCUUAACACAUGCAAGUCGAACGGGCUUCUUCGGAAGUCAGUGGCAGACGGGUGAGUAACACGUGGGAACGUGCCCUUCGGUUCGGAAUAACUCAGGGAAACUUGAGCUAAUACCGGAUACGCCCUUUUGGGGAAAGGUUUACUGCCGAAGGAUCGGCCCGCGUCUGAUUAGCUUGUUGGUGGGGUAACGGCCUACCAAGGCGACGAUCAGUAGCUGGUCUGAGAGGAUGAUCAGCCACACUGGGACUGAGACACGGCCCAGACUCCUACGGGAGGCAGCAGUGGGGAAUAUUGGACAAUGGGCGCAAGCCUGAUCCAGCCAUGCCGCGUGAGUGAUGAAGGCCUUAGGGUUGUAAAGCUCUUUUGUCCGGGACGAUAAUGACGGUACCGGAAGAAUAGGCCCCGGCUAACUUCGUG
RNAcentral lists this ribosomal RNA (435 nucleotides) under uncultured bacterium. Its description in RNAcentral is "partial 16S ribosomal RNA". It matches the Rfam family "Bacterial small subunit ribosomal RNA", at positions 29 to 507 of the family's 1533-position model. The record is from RNAcentral.